AAUGAACGUUGGCGGCGUGGAUUAGGCAUGCAAGUCGAGCGGCAAGGUAGCUUCGGCUACCCUAGAGCGGCGAAAGGGAUAGUACAAUAUAGAUAACGUGCCUCUCAGCUCAGGAUAGCGUCUGGAAACGGACGAUAAUACUGAAUGCAGUCUUCGGACUAAAGGUGCGAUUCCGCUGAGAGAUCGGUCUAUAGCCUAUUAGUUAGUUGGCAGGGUAAUGGCCUACCAAGACUUUGAUGGGUACGGGGCGUGAGAGCGCGACCCCGAUCACUGGGACUGAGACACUGCCCAGACGCCUACGGGCGGCUGCAGUCGAGAAUCUUCGGCAAUGGACGGAAGUCUGACCGAGCGACGCCGCGUGUAUGAGGAAGGCCUUCGGGUUGUAAAGUACUGUCGAUUGGGAGGAAAUGAAAUAGGGCUAUCCUUAUUUUUUGACCUAUCAUUUGAGGAAGGACGGGCUAAGUUCGUGCCAGCAGCCGCGGUAAGACGAACUGUUCGAACGUUAUUCGGAAUCACUGGGCUUAAAGGGCAUGUAGGCGGCGUUAUAAGCGAGGUCUGAAAUCCCGCGGCUUAACCCGCGGAAUUGGGCUU
Molecule: ribosomal RNA, 591 nt
Filed under: uncultured bacterium
Lineage: Bacteria
Description: bacterial SSU rRNA
Rfam family: Bacterial small subunit ribosomal RNA
Source: RNAcentral